GGGUAUGUAAGAGCGAUCUGGAUGAUCUGGCUGGCUAGGCGGGUGUCCCCUUUUUCCCUCAUCACUCCAUGUGUGUCCCUCCCGAAGCUGCGCAUUUGGUCAAAGAGGAUGACCAUCCCCGAUAGAGGACUGUUCUUUGGUCAUGGGUGUAUGAGUAGCUGCGCUCCCAUUAGAACCUCCAAACAAGCUCUCAAAAGGAAGGGAGACUGACCUAGGGGGGAAUGAAUCAAGAACUGUGGGGCAACAACCUCGAAAAUGAAAAAUCUAUAGU
Molecule: unclassified non-coding RNA, 271 nt
Organism: Tupaia belangeri (northern tree shrew)
Lineage: Eukaryota; Metazoa; Chordata; Mammalia; Scandentia; Tupaiidae
Gene: 7SK
Rfam family: 7SK RNA
About the family: 7SK was discovered as an abundant small nuclear RNA in the mid-70s but a possible function has only recently been suggested. Two independent studies have found that 7SK RNA binds the CDK9/cyclin T complex (known as elongation factor P-TEFb).
Source: Ensembl